Molecule: ribosomal RNA, 254 nt
Filed under: uncultured bacterium
Lineage: Bacteria
Description: partial 16S ribosomal RNA
Rfam family: Bacterial small subunit ribosomal RNA
Source: RNAcentral
UACGUAGGGGGCUAGCGUUAUCCAGAAUUACUGGGCGUAAAGCGCGUGUAGGCGGCUGGUUAAGUGUGAUGUGAAAUCUUCGGGCUCAACCCGAAAACUGCAUUGCAAACUGGCCUGGCUAGAGUGCAGGAGAGGGAAGCGGAAUUCCAGGUGUAGCGGUGAAAUGCGUAGAUAUCGGAAGGAACACCAGUGGCGAAAGCGGCUUCCUGGUCCAGCACCGACGUUCAGGCACGAAAGCGUGGGGAGCAAACAGG